This 1260-nucleotide ribosomal RNA is filed under the name Enhydrobacter aerosaccus. Its description in RNAcentral is "bacterial SSU rRNA". It matches the Rfam family "Bacterial small subunit ribosomal RNA", at positions 72 to 1332 of the family's 1533-position model. Lineage: Bacteria; Pseudomonadati; Pseudomonadota; Alphaproteobacteria; Hyphomicrobiales. The record is from RNAcentral.
UAUCUAGCUUGCUAGAUAUGAUUAGUGGCGGACGGGUGAGUAACAUUUAGGAAUCUGCCUAGUAGUGGGGGAUAGCUCGGGGAAACUCGAAUUAAUACCGCAUACGACCUACGGGUGAAAGGGGGCGCAAGCUCUUGCUAUUAGAUGAGCCUAAAUCAGAUUAGCUAGUUGGUGGGGUAAAGGCCYACCAAGGCGACGAUCUGUAACUGGUCUGAGAGGAUGAUCAGUCACACCGGAACUGAGACACGGUCCGGACUCCUACGGGAGGCAGCAGUGGGGAAUAUUGGACAAUGGGGGCAACCCUGAUCCAGCCAUGCCGCGUGUGUGAAGAAGGCCUUUUGGUUGUAAAGCACUUUAAGCAGGGAGGAGAGGCUAAUGGUUAAUACCCAUUAGAUUAGACGUUACCUGCAGAAUAAGCACCGGCUAACUCUGUGCCAGCAGCCGCGGUAAUACAGAGGGUGCGAGCGUUAAUCGGAAUUACUGGGCGUAAAGCGAGUGUAGGUGGCUCAUUAAGUCACAUGUGAAAUCCCCGGGCUUAACCUGGGAACUGCAUGUGAUACUGGUGGUGCUAGAAUAUGUGAGAGGGAAGUAGAAUUCCAGGUGUAGCGGUGAAAUGCGUAGAGAUCUGGAGGAAUACCGAUGGCGAAGGCAGCUUCCUGGCAUAAUAUUGACACUGAGAUUCGAAAGCGUGGGUAGCAAACAGGAUUAGAUACCCUGGUAGUCCACGCCGUAAACGAUGUCUACUAGCCGUUGGGGUCCUUGAGACUUUAGUGGCGCAGUUAACGCGAUAAGUAGACCGCCUGGGGAGUACGGCCGCAAGGUUAAAACUCAAAUGAAUUGACGGGGGCCCGCACAAGCGGUGGAGCAUGUGGUUUAAUUCGAUGCAACGCGAAGAACCUUACCUGGUCUUGACAUAGUGAGAAUCCUGCAGAGAUGCGGGAGUGCCUUCGGGAAUUCACAUACAGGUGCUGCAUGGCUGUCGUCAGCUCGUGUCGUGAGAUGUUGGGUUAAGUCCCGCAACGAGCGCAACCCUUUUCCUUAUUUGCCAGCGGGUUAAGCCGGGAACUUUAAGGAUACUGCCAGUGACAAACUGGAGGAAGGCGGGGACGACGUCAAGUCAUCAUGGCCCUUACGACCAGGGCUACACACGUGCUACAAUGGUAGGUACAGAGGGUUGCUACACAGCGAUGUGAUGCUAAUCUCAAAAAGCCUAUCGUAGUCCGGAUUGGAGUCUGCAACUCGACUCCAUGAAGUCGGAAU